ACGAACGCUGGCGGCGUGCUUAACACAUGCAAGUCGAACGGAAAGGCCCUGCUUUCGUGGGGUGCUCGAGUGGCGAACGGGUGAGUAACACGUGAGUAACCUGCCCUUGACUUUGGGAUAACUUCAGGAAACUGGGGCUAAUACCGGAUAGGAGCUCCUGCUGCAUGGUGGGGGUUGGAAAGUUUCGGCGGUUGGGGAUGGACUCGCGGCUUAUCAGCUUGUUGGUGGGGUAAUGGCUUACCAAGGCUUUGACGGGUAGCCGGCCUGAGAGGGUGACCGGCCACAUUGGGACUGAGAUACGGCCCAGACUCCUACGGGAGGCAGCAGUGGGGAAUAUUGCACAAUGGGCGGAAGCCUGAUGCAGCAACGCCGCGUGCGGGAUGACGGCCUUCGGGUUGUAAACCGCUUUCGCCUGUGACGAAGCGUGAGUGACGGUAAUGGGUAAAGAAGCACCGGCUAACUACGUG
This 467-nucleotide ribosomal RNA is filed under the name uncultured bacterium. RNAcentral's name for it is "partial 16S ribosomal RNA". It matches the Rfam family "Bacterial small subunit ribosomal RNA", at positions 29 to 507 of the family's 1533-position model. The record is from RNAcentral.